UACGAAGGGGGCUAGCGUUGUUCGGAAUUACUGGGCGUAAAGCGCGCGCAGGCGGUUCUCCAAGUCAGUGGUGAAAGCCCGGAGCUCAACUCCGGAAUUGCCAUUGAAACUGUCGAACUCGAGGACGAGAGAGGUGAGUGGAAUUCCCAGUGUAGAGGUGAAAUUCGUAGAUAUUGGGAAGAACACAGGUGGCGAAAGCGGCUCACUGGCUCGUUUCUGACGCUCAUGCGCGACAGCGUGGGGAU
This 245-nucleotide ribosomal RNA is filed under the name uncultured bacterium. RNAcentral describes it as "partial 16S ribosomal RNA". It matches the Rfam family "Bacterial small subunit ribosomal RNA", at positions 524 to 768 of the family's 1533-position model. The record is from RNAcentral.